AUGAAGAUCAUCGUUCUGUCCUUCUUCCUGCUCCUCCUCAACCUCAGCAGUACGAAGUGUCAAAGUCUGGAGUCGAUUCCUGCAGUUCCAGUGCAGAAGAAACCUGGAGAAGCUCUGAGUCUCUCCUGUAGAGGAUCUGGCUUUAAUUUCGGGAGCUAUGGCAUGAACUGGAUCAGACAGCAGCCUGGUAAAGCCCUGGUGUGGAUGGGAGUUAUCUGGUAUGAUGCCAGUAAAACUAUAUACGCCAAACAGUUUGAGGGUCGCCUGGAAAUCACCAGAGAUAAUCCCAACAACAUGGUGUAUCUGAAACUGACUGGACUGACAGUAGAAGACACUGCUGUGUAUUACUGUACAGGGGCCCACGGUGGUACAGACAUGAGCACCAGCUGUACAAAAACAAACGCAGGUUGA
Non-coding RNA from Trichomycterus rosablanca, 411 nucleotides. Lineage: Eukaryota; Metazoa; Chordata; Actinopteri; Siluriformes; Trichomycteridae. The record is from the annotation of a RefSeq genome assembly.